GGGGAACGGACAAUACAUUUGUGUCCUCCACUGUUUGGCAGUUUAUCGUCUCCCAAACACGGUUAAAGACUUUUUGAAGUAAAGAGGAGCAUCUCAUCUGGACCUGAUGUCUAUCAUGGAUAUCUAACUGCAGUACUGUGAGUAUCCCAACAUUAACAUGAAGAUGAACUGCAAACUGUAAGUCAUUAGUUUCUCAUUACUCUUGGGCACAUUGAUGUAUGUUGGCUUCCUGGUGAGUUAACCCGUUAGCUGAAGGUUGAUCUGAUUAGUAAGGAUCUUUUAUUGGUUCAUGGGUUACGUAGGCGUUUGGUUUAUGUUGGUUUUAAUGGUUUGUUAAAAUGGUUUCAGGUUCUAAGUUAUUGUUGUAAGCUGGAGUAAUGAGUUGGGUUCUGAUAUCUUCAGUCUUCUUUACAGCCACUCUCCUGAGCUCUGCAUCUUCAUUACAUGAGUGUUGCUUUACUGAGGAGGGUGUGGUCUGAGUGAGAAGAGGUGCAUACUGGGAUACAGAGCUGUCUGAAGUCUACAGGUCUGUAGACACGCCCCCUCAGGGGAAACCGAGUGUUUGAGAAACCGUCGUGACGUCAGUUACAUGGACUGGAAUGUUCUUUAAGAUGGAGACAGGGAUUCAGAAGGAGAAACACCAGGGGGAGAUGAGGGGGCUCCUCAUCUCAACGACUAAAACACAACUUCAGUCUGACACAGAGAACCAUGGAACACAUUCAACAGUCCCCCCCAGGCAUCGUGACUCCUCAGGAACAGUUUCAUUCCAGAGAAGGUCUCAUUUGGGGCCAUUCCAAGAUGGAUCCUGCUCCUCAAGAGCCACCCCCCUCCACUGGGUGGUCUUCUGAACAAAUGACGUCUUUCCUGUCAUCAGGCUGACUAAAGCUGCACCGUUUGCAUCUGUGAAGGCCCCUCAAUCACUAAACCACUGGACUACAAACACAUGACUUCAGAGAUGUUGAAAGAGCGUGAAUGGAGACACCAAGCAUAAUCCAUCACCAAUGUGGGAUGCCACUGAAGAAUGUUGUACAUAAUUUACGUCUCUGGAGAUAUUGGUGGUUCUGUUCUGGGUGCCCUGACAGAAGAGCUGGGGGUGGAUGAUGGAAUGUUAUUUGGCAUGAGGUUUUUACCCUGCAUGAAUUUUUGGUCUUUUAUGGCUCAGUGGUGUGUGUGGGUUUGACAUGAGAUGGAAGAUUUUUGAGCAUCGCUAGGCUUCUAGUGUGUGUGUGUGUGUGUGUGUGUCCCACUCACACCCGGCACGGGGUUCUACGUGUGGGUUCUGCGUCCUGCUUCCUGCUUGCUUUGACAUUGAUCAUUUUCAUACGGGGGUCUGUGUGAUUGGCUUGGUGUAUUGGAAUGGUCAACUAAGUCAUACCUGCUGGAAGGCCACACGUUUACUUGAGGCCUCCAGGAGACAUGAAGAGCCCUGAGCGACGCUCCGGAGCGAUAUCCUACACACUGGGCAGGAAGGAGAGUAUCCAAAUCAAGUGUAAAAGGAUGCAAGCGCCGUGUUCAGAUCAGCGACUUCAAACUCGGACUACACCAAUCAGGAUCAAUGGAGGAUGGACACCUAAAGGCAUUCCACAAGGACUCUGAAGUUGGAAAGCGACCUCAAUGGAUGUUCAAGAUGACAUUCAGACCUGUAAUGAGGCGGAUCUUCCUAACUGGCUGGAUUGAUGGAGAGCCCUGUGGAUCUUGUCUUGCUCUCAGUUGCACGUCUUCUCAGGCUGAACUAUAUUUGCUGCACAGGACGAGCUGAACGAUCGGUUCCCUUAAAUCGGAACCAAUCUGGGAACUCCAACUACUGCGCUCUUCAAGCUGAAGUUGUGCUCUUCAGCUGAGGAGGCAAGGAAACCUUCACUGGGGCUACAAUGUGUAUAGAGGAGACCGUUUCGAAGUGUUCCAUGGUACUCUGAUGAAGACCGUUGUUGUGUUUCGCUGACUGAGAGGAAGAACCCUCACAUCCUCCUCUUGGCCUUUCUCCUCUGAGAAUCCUGGUGCCAUCUUGAAGUAUAUUCCAGCUCAUGUAACUGAUGUCACGACAGAUUCUCAAACACUUGGUUUCUCCUAAGGGGCGUGUCUAUAGAACUGAAGACUUCAGACAGCACUGUAUCCCAGCACUCAUCUCUGCUCACUCAGACCACACCCUCAUGAGUAGGAUGCAACACUAUAGCGAUGGAGAUGUAGAGUUUUAUAAGUAAAGAGGGAGCAGACAAAGGUCAUUCGAACACAUUUGCAAUUUAAGUCUUUAAAUCUUUAAACCAUGAAGAUGGUUGGAUAGUUCAGGAAUUGGGCUUAAUUUUAUUAUGGGCAGUCCUUUCGCUCAAAUGCCCACUUCUCACUGGACCUGUACAUGUGUUGGUUGGCUGGCAUGAUUUGCUGUUGGUAGUGAGGCGGUCAGGGUGACAUUGCUUGGCUAUGGUCGGCUCUCUGUGAGCUCACUGUUUAGAUUUGAUCUGUAUGGUUUGUACCCUGAAUAUCGAUAAUUGUUUUUAAUUUUAAAAUGUAGACACGGGUUUUGUAUUGAAUUAUUCCAUUGUUUUUAAGCAAGGAGUUGAGGUUUAAAGUUGUUGUGGAACGUACAUGGUAGUUCGGUUCUUCGUACGGUUUUGAGUGAUAUAACUUGUACACACUGGGUGCAUAAUAAUGUAAAGGUACACUGAAUAGCAGUAAUGACCAACAGCAACAAACAGAUCACAUCAAGGUAAGUCUGUUGGCUGUGUUUUAAUGAAGACCAUCGCCGGACUUCAGGAUCUUCCUCCGUUCAGCUCAAGGUGAGGCGCUGGUUCUGUUAUUACUUUGGUUGGUUCCGGCCGGAAUGUUCGGAUUCCAGUCGGACGGUUUGUGCUUCCCGCCGUGGAAGGUUCUGUGUGCGUUCACUUGAUUUAGUCUCAAUGGUUAGCAUAGAACGUUGUCGACUUGACAACCAUAAGAACCCACGUGGCCGUUAGUUGGACGUGAAAGGGUAUCUGGCGGAACGUUCUAGAUGUAUUUGCAUAUCUUCGAGCCGUUGCCAACAGAAACUAUUUUCCAUUAGGAAUUGUUGCCCCUUAUCUUAAACUAAUUACUUUUGAUAUUGAAUGCACACUGACGCGUACAUCGUAAAAUAUGUUGAUCAUUUCCGACUGUUGCGCCGACUUUAACCACGUUGACGGGACUCUCGCUGCGUUCAAAACAGCGUUCUACUUGCGGGCCCAUUUCUGAUCAUCAGUGAAGGCUGAAGAUCAUUUCAAGGUGGAUGACAAUUUGGCAUUUCUUCAACGGAACCCUGCACCUGAAUAUGGCAUGAGUAUUAAUAUGAGUAUAUUUGAUUUAAUAUCGAUACUGCUUAGUGUUCUUUGUUACUUCAGCUUUCGUACGUUCUAAAUAUCUGGUGUUAAUAAUUGCCACAGAAGUAAAACCCUACCCAAUGGAAUGACGUUAAACAACGACUUUGGUCCUUAGUUACCAACUGGAUAAUAACAAAGCUUAAAUAAUGGCUGUCUUUCCCACAUGUUACAGUAGAAGAAACUCUAGAACUGCACAAGGUUAAAAAGGUAACAUGUAGUUAGUCCCAAGGUGUCUGCCUCCUCACCCAGAGCCAGACCUCCACCUCCUCACCCAGAGCCAGACCUCCACCUCCUCACCCAGAGCCAGACCUCCACCUCCUCACCCAGAGCCAGACCUCCACCUCCUCACCCAGAGCCAGACCUCCACCUCCUCACCCAGAGCCAGACCUCCACCUCCUCACCCAGAGCCAGACCUCCACCUCCUCACCCAGAGCCAGACUUCCCACCUCCUGUCAGAAGUCCUCCAGAACAGGCGAGGCUGAGAGGCUGGGGACCGGAGGCUUGUGGUGCCAGAGUGGACCGGAGAUUGAGGCUGGAGACCAGGGGCCUGCAGCACCGGACCAGAGGACCAGGAAUCCAUGGCUGAAGGGGCUGAUGGAGGAGCCGUGCUGAAGAACCUGCCUGAUGGAGAAGCCGUGCUGAAGGCCCUGCCUGGUGGAGGAGCUGAUGGAGGCCCUGCCUGGUGGAGGAGCUGAUGGAGGCCCUGCCUGGAGGAGGAACUGAUGGAGGCCCUGCCUGGUGGAGGAGCUGAUGGAGGCCCUGCCUGGUGGAGGAGCUGAUGGAGGCCCUGCCUGGUGGAGGAGAUGAUGGAGGCCCUGCCUGGUGGAGGAACUGAUGGAGGCCCUGCCUGGUGGAGGAUUCCUGUCGUUGGACCUUGAAUCUGUCUCAAGAGAGCUGGUGGAGGAGCUGAGAAGCUGUAAGACGAUUAGGAAUUAUCCAACAAGGAUUCCUCACGUUGGGGCCAGAUUUGAGCUGUUUGUUCCAGACCAGGACUCUGGCUGAGGAGAGCUGAUGGAGGAGCCAAGACUCUGGAGGACGACAUCACUCUAUCAACAAGGAUCCUCAGCCAAAUUACGUUUGUAACCAGACCAGGAAUCUGGAGGACUGACGGAGAAGCCAUACCUCUGGAAGGCAAAUCCUGAGGACGACCAGGACUCUACCAUCAAGGAUUCCUCACACACCUGAACUGAACCUCACCUGAUCCUGCUUGGUCGGGGUCAGACUCACCUGAGCUGAACCCCACCUGAUCCUGCUGGUCCUGUCUCCUCAGUUCAUUUUAGCCUCGUCUUCCAGAAGACCUGCUGAACUCAGCGUUCUGAUCCUGAUGGAUCAAUGACCUCCAGUGGGAGUGAUCUUCUUGACCCUACAUGUACCCGUGUGCUUCCACACGCCUUACCCUCACGUCUGUCACUAACCUCACUACUUCACUAAUCUCUACUCCUUCCCUUCUUCUUCCUUCUCCCUGGUUCGAACCUUUACUCUGAAGGAGUGUCUUCUUGAACCUUUACACUGAAGGACCGUCUUCCUGCCCUCAGAGGGUUCAGUGUUACGGUUGAGAGUCAGGGUUUAGAGUCAGGGACAGAGCUGGUUAGGGUUUUACACAAACCUCUUCACUUGCUUUUGUGAAUGGUGGUGACAUUUUGAAAUUAUUAAUUUCUGAAAAUAUUUUCCUCUGCUUUCCUUUACAAAAGUAUGUAUUCAACUUCUGUCAAGUGUUUUCGUUUAUACUGUAUAUUAAAAUCUUACAUUGACUUCUG
Long non-coding RNA from Gadus chalcogrammus (walleye pollock), 5086 nucleotides. RefSeq lists it as uncharacterized. The record is from RefSeq and is a predicted model, not a curated record. The transcript is spliced from 9 exons. Lineage: Eukaryota; Metazoa; Chordata; Actinopteri; Gadiformes; Gadidae.